GACGAACGCUGGCGGCGUGCCUAACACAUGCAAGUCGAACGAAGAAUGUUUUUCGGAAUAUUCUUAGUGGCGGACGGGUGAGUAACGCGUGAACAAUCUGCCCCGUACAAAGGGAUAGCCUCGGGAAACCGGGAUUAAAAACCAUAUAACACUUAACUGCCGCAUGGUAGUGAAGUCAAAUCGAUUAAGAGGUAUGGGAUGAGUUCGCGUCUGAUUAGCUAGUUGGUGAGGUAAGGGCUCACCAAGGCGACGAUCAGUAGCCGGCCUGAGAGGGUGAACGGCCACACUGGAACUGAGACACGGUCCAGACUCCUACGGGAGGCAGCAGUGGGGAAUAUUGCACAAUGGAGGGAACUCUGAUGCAGCGACGCCGCGUGAGUGAAGAAGGUCUUCGGAUCGUAAAGCUCUGUCUUCCGGGACGAUAAUGACGGUACCGGAGGAGGAAGCCACGGCUAACUACGUGCCAGCAGCCGCGGUAAGAUCACGUGUA
Molecule: ribosomal RNA, 490 nt
Filed under: uncultured bacterium
Lineage: Bacteria
Description: bacterial SSU rRNA
Rfam family: Bacterial small subunit ribosomal RNA
Source: RNAcentral